GCUGGUUUGGAAAAAAUGAUUCUAAAAGCAAGAAAAAUGAUACUUGUUUAAAUAUUUUGGAUUAUACAAUAAAUUGCCAAGUUUUCUUUAUAUUAUUAAACAGUCUAACCAUUAAAUUGCCAAUCUGUCAUCAAAUUUGCAGAUUUAGGCAAAUAACUAGACCGAUUUUUUACUGUGAUUGUUCAAUCCAAGAUGGCGGAAUACCAUGAAUCUACCUUAA
RNAcentral lists this long non-coding RNA (220 nucleotides) under Mytilus galloprovincialis (Mediterranean mussel). The record is from RNAcentral. Lineage: Eukaryota; Metazoa; Mollusca; Bivalvia; Mytilida; Mytilidae.